Ictidomys tridecemlineatus (thirteen-lined ground squirrel) is the source of this 1006-nucleotide long non-coding RNA. RefSeq lists it as uncharacterized. The record is from RefSeq and is a predicted model, not a curated record. NCBI's taxonomy places the organism in Eukaryota, Metazoa, Chordata, Mammalia, Rodentia, Sciuridae.
CCAUCCCCUCUAAUUUCAAUGGUGGAAAAGCUGGAAACCUUCUUCAUGGUCCAGAGGUUAGAAAACCAGAAAGAGUAUCCAGGAAUGACUCUUUCUGGGCCAGGCUGCUGAGGAUUCAUCAGGUGAUCCAUUGGGAUAAGCCACACCACAGGUGUGAUGUGUUCAGUAUCUGAUCUAAGAGAUGGCGGUAGUUAAGCUUGGAGAGAAGAAUGAGAAAUUUGAAGUAUCUAGAAGACUUGGUGAUUUCCCAGGUUUCAAAUGCCCUGCAAAGUGUUAAGAAAAAUAUGGCUCAUGUCUAAGGAGGAUAAGACACAGAUGGAAAAACCCCAUACAGAAUCCAUCUCUUGGAAUGGACCCCAAGAUCAAGGUACAAAGAUCCGGCAUUAGAGAACUCAUGGAUGCUGGUUGACUUUGAAAAAAACUCACAGGGUAAGAUUCUGAAGACGAAAAGAAGGAAUGGAUGAUUAAAGAAGGGUUUCAAAGGGAAUGAUGUGUUCCCACACUGCUGGAUGUGAUGCCAGCACCUUGCAGAUUGACUUGAUAGAUUAAAGAAAAACAAUUAUAACACUCCAUGGGGAUGAUAAUGAAGGCAAGAACACGGUUACUAAUGUUCUCAUGAAGGUGGGCUCACCUGAGAGCUGAUGUCUACAAAGGGGGAUUAUAAACAACAAAUGCUAAAUUUAAGAAAGUUAUGCUGGUAACACUCAGGGUAAAUAACUCAGUCAUACAGAGUAAAGAAUGUUUCUUCGGCUUUAAAACAAAGAUCAUAUAUUUAAAGUGGAGGAAAAAUUUCUGCAAAAAUAUCCUGAAUGUAAUACAACCCAAACAAAAAUUCAUUAUAGUACAAAUUUAGUCCCCCAGUCUUUUAAUUAAUUAUUUAUUUUUUUUACAUUUCUCCUGGAGAUAAAAUUAAAGAGGAACUACCUUGGCACAGCAGUGUACGCGUGUAAUCGAAGGGACACGGGAGGCUUAGGCAGGAGGAUCACAAGUUUAAAGACAACCUCAG